GUCUAGUUCUUCUGGUGGGUCUAUGGAUCCUUGUACCUCCAUCUUUCACCCUUGAACAUAAACACAAAUGUGAUCUGAGGGUCGAGAUGGACUUGGAUGUGUUGUCUUAGGAUCCUGGAAUUGAGCCAGCACAUGGACCACCCCAAGUGUAGGUCGAUCGACCGUGCCUUGGUGGGUCUAGGGGCUCAUUUUCUCCCAAAUGUAAGUGUUCCUACAUCCAAAUACUUAGAGCAUAAGUGGAACCUCUUAGUGAUAAAAGAUGCCUAUGCUAUGCCAUUCUUCCACUAUUUCUGGCCUGUUGACAGUGUUUUCAUGUGUGGAUUUUAUAGCUUAUCCACCAUCAACAAGAUCCCCCAAGCUUAACCUUUGCUCUUCCUGAGCAAAUAACUAAACUUAGUCUCGGUGGAUCAGGAGUUGCUGCAAUGUCAACAUUUCAAGAGUACCAUGUACGCAACAAAUUAUUUCUCAUAAGUAUGGAAAAUUUAGCUAUGAAGACUUACCCAUUUACCUUAGUUCUUUGUGGGGCUUUUAGCUUUUCCUUUGUCUCAGGCAGUUGAGAGAUAGAACAGUUAGAUAUAGAGCACCACUUUCUUAUUCUUAGCGAGUUUCAUACCAGAGGUUUUUUUUUUCAAUUUUUUCACAAGAAAACUAGGUUCCUCAAUUGAUUUCUCUCAAUCUCUCAAGUGGAUAAUGUACCUUACCAAAGGCAUUGCUUUUCUCACAACCUAUAGCUAAGGCUUUAUGUGGAGUUUCAGUAGGUGUGGAAGGUGGACAUACUUGCUUCUUGUAUGGGGAUAAAUCAAAAACCAAACUAAGUUAAGAUCAAAGGCAUAUGCUAGACUGAGACGUGCAAGUGUGUGGAAUGGAUCCUAUCACUAAACUAUACUCCUUUUAUUGCAUGAUCUUUCUCUCUUAGAAUAUUUUGAGACAUGGAUACCAACUUUUCCUUAUACCAAACAUUUGGGGACUUUUGACAAGGGUGCGCCCCCUUUUUUGGCCAUGUCUCUCUAAAAAGGAUACUGAGAGAAAGAUCAAUUUAAAAAAUGGAUGGAGUAUUUUCCUAGCAAAAAUUUGCUUCCUCCUAGUAUAGGAGAAGAGCAAUUUUUUUGGUGGAUGGAAGGGUGCAUGUUGCACGCAAUCCUCAGUGUAAGAAUUGGCUUUAUUUGGUGAGUGCAAAGUGUGUCUCAGUCUAAACAUAUGAGUCCAAUCUAAGUUAAGUUCAAUCCUUGACAAAACCCCAACAAUUGCAAGCAGCUAUGGCUAAAGUAUGUAUAUAUCUAUGGAGCAUAAAUAUUUGGCAUUGGUAGGAAUUUUAUAAUCAUUGAGGAACCAUUGUUUGUAGAUAUUUUCCAAAUAAAUUCUCUGAUAAUCAUGCAAGCUUAGAAUAAAAAUAUAGCAGCUCUUGUCUUACUAUCUCAUAUCUCACAACAACUUAUACGUAGUUUUAGCACUUGCAACCCACAGAAAGAAAUCAGGUUCAUGGUUGUCUUAUGUGAGCCAAGUGAUCCAUACUUAGAAAAAUACUAAGUUGAGUGCUAGAUACUAGAGAAAUAUUAACAAAGCAACAAUUCAUCAUUUCCAAGAGAAAGAUGGCAUGCAUGUCAAAUUUUAUUUAUUUAUUUUUAUUUAUUUUUAUUAUUUUUAUUUUAUUAUUUAUUAUUUUAUUAUUUUAUUUUUUUGCACGAAGCAUACAACUGAAAUUGAAAUAAAUUUAAAAGAGCCAGAAUACUAACCUUGGUGGGGGAGAGGAUCUCCCCCAAGCUUGUCUCUUCUCAUGCCACCUCACUGAUAUGGUGGAUAGUUAUAUGGAUAUGGUGGAGGAUAUGAGGCUGCUGAGGAUAUGGUGGAGGAUAUGAGGCUGCUGAGGAUAUGGUGGAGGAUAUGAGGCUGCUGAGGAUAUGGUGGAGGAUACUGUGGAGAUGGGUCUUGCUGCCGUUGUGGUGGCAUAGGGAUGAAUGGAAUAUUUGGUGGUAGUGGCCUCUGAUGGUGUGCAUACAUCCUGUUCCAGCCUAUGUUGUGUUGGACUUGAAGAUCUAGGAGGGCUUGCUGGGUUUGAGUUGCAGUGUGUUGCAUGGCCUCAUGUCCAAUGUGCAGCACCCCAAUUUGUUGGGUCAGCAUGGCCAUGUCAAUGCGUUGAGCACGGGGCUAUGAAUCCUGCAAAGAAGAAAAAGACAUACGACCACUGUGGGCACCAGACCUGCGUCCCAAAUGGGACGUCUGCAUCCCACUAAAACUUCCCUUAUAGUCACUGUCAUCAUCAUCACCUGCAGCUUGUGCUCUUGCACGUGUGGUUGGUCCUGCAUGCCUCAUAUGUCUUUUGCACAUAGGAAGUAAUGGGUUGCCACUAUAUAUUUUUAGUUCUUCACAGGGCAACAAAAUUGUUUCAUGGGUAUUAUAAACUUUUAAAAACACUGAGUUAUUUGCUCCUCCCUUAAGAUAUUGGCCCUGAAUUGAAAAUCUUUUGUGCAAGACAACUCUAGGAGUAAUUAUGUAUCUAUCAAAGUUAUUGAGCAGAUUUAAGCGUGCACAAAAUUUUGUAACCACAGAAGUAAAUUCAAUGGCCCACCUCCUUGGUUGGGAUGAUGCCCAUAUUCAAUGUUUAGCCAUUUCUAUCACAAAACCAACCAAAUUAUAAGAGUUCAAGUGUAGAAACGAUCAACUAGCAAUCAAGUUUCCAGACUUGAGCCCAUAUAAUCCCGGUAGUCAACUGAAAUCACGAAGGACUUCAAACCAACUUGCAACAAACCAAGAUCAUAAUAGUUCAACACAACACAGCGAUUGUUACAUAGUUCAUACAUUGCCGAUGAAGCGGCACCACAUCGGAGUUGCUUAAUUAUUACAACAUAAGUUCAAAGUAGCGGAAGCAAGAUAGUUCACAACCACACAUUUCACAAGUUUUUGUUACUGCCAGAGUCUCAUCUCAUCCACCAAAAGCAUCGGGGUACGAAGUUGUUAGAGAACCGUGCCCAACGGUUUAGUCCUCAUCCCCAGCGGGAUGGAGACAGGUCUUGCAGAAGCCAUCAUAAAAGACAUCAUCUGCAACAGGUGGGAAUAAACCCUGAGUACGAGGAUGUACUCAGCUAGACUUACCCGUCUAGUAAAACACAAAGACACCAAGGAUCAUGCAAGGCUGAGUAUAAAGUGUAGCUGGCUUGACUCAUCAUUUGCCAAAAGCUUAAGUGGAUACUACAUCAUUUGUAUGACAUCAUAUUAAUCAUCAUUAGCCUACCACUAGAUUAGCACCUGGACUAAACACUUCACUUGAUUAUUACAAGCAAUAAUAACCAUAUCAAGUUUAUCAUAUGAUCUUCCUUGCUAUCAUCAACAUCAUUAUCAAGAACCAUUGUACUUAGUGAAUGCUACGUUUGCCGCUGCUCUGUCAAGUUCUCACUAUCCGGGAGAGACGGCGAUUCGAAUCGAUUCCUAUCCAGCUGGAGGGUUAUUCCUAGCACUCACCUAAGCAACCCCGUCGGAGAGCAAGCGGGUCACCUUUGGUACGACUCAGGAAU
RNAcentral lists this long non-coding RNA (3509 nucleotides) under Sorghum bicolor (sorghum). RNAcentral's name for it is "long non-coding RNA (SBIC_LNC002325)". The record is from RNAcentral. Lineage: Eukaryota; Viridiplantae; Streptophyta; Magnoliopsida; Poales; Poaceae.